GACAGAGGUUGCAAACGUUGUUCGGAAUCACUGGGCAUAAAGCGCACGUAGGCGGUCUGUUAAGUCAGGUGUGAAAGCCCCCGGCUCAACCGGGGAACAGCAUUUGAUACUGGCAGACUCGAGGAUGGUAGGGGUGAGUGGAACUCCAGGUGGAGCGGUGAAAUGCGUAGAUAUCUGGAGGAACACCGGUGGCGAAAGCGGCUCACUGGACCAUUUCUGACGCUGAGGUGCGAAAGCUAGGGUAGCAAACGGG
Molecule: ribosomal RNA, 253 nt
Filed under: uncultured bacterium
Lineage: Bacteria
Description: partial 16S ribosomal RNA
Rfam family: Bacterial small subunit ribosomal RNA
Source: RNAcentral